This 491-nucleotide ribosomal RNA is filed under the name uncultured bacterium. Its description in RNAcentral is "partial 16S ribosomal RNA". It matches the Rfam family "Bacterial small subunit ribosomal RNA", at positions 29 to 506 of the family's 1533-position model. The record is from RNAcentral.
AGUGAACGCUGGCGGUAGGCCUAACACAUGCAAGUCGAACGGCAGCACAGUAAGAGCUUGCUCUUACGGGUGGCGAGUGGCGGACGGGUGAGGAAUACAUCGGAAUCUACUUUUUCGUGGGGGAUAACGUAGGGAAACUUACGCUAAUACCGCAUACGACCUACGGGUGAAAGCAGGGGAUCUUCGGACCUUGCGCGAUUGAAUUAGCCGAUGUCGGAUUAGCUAGUUGGCGGGGUAAAGGCCCACCAGGGCGACGAUCCGUAGCUGGUCUGAGAGGAUGAUCGGCCACACUGGAACUGAGACACGGUCCAGACUCCUACGGGAGGCAGCAGUGGGGAAUAUUGGACAAUGGGCGCAAGCCUGAUCCAGCCAUACCGCGUGGGUGAAGAAGGCCUUCGGGUUGUAAAGCCCUUUUGUUGGGAAAGAAAAGCAGCAGGUUAAUACCCCGCUGUUCUGACGGUACCCAAAGAAUAAGCACCGGCUAACUUCGU